This 429-nucleotide ribosomal RNA is filed under the name Fusobacteriota bacterium. Its description in RNAcentral is "Fusobacteria bacterium partial 16S ribosomal RNA". It matches the Rfam family "Bacterial small subunit ribosomal RNA", at positions 355 to 776 of the family's 1533-position model. The record is from RNAcentral. Lineage: Bacteria; Fusobacteriati; Fusobacteriota.
UAGGGAAUCUUCCGCAAUGGGCGCAAGCCUGACGGAGCAACGCCGCGUGUGUGAAGAAGGUCUUCGGAUCGUAAAGCACUGUUGUUAGAGAAGAACGACCGCUAGAGUAACUGUUAGCGGAGUGACGGUAUCUAACCAGAAAGCCACGGCUAACUACGUGCCAGCAGCCGCGGUAAUACGUAGGUGGCAAGCGUUGUCCGGAUUUAUUGGGCGUAAAGGGAGCGCAGGCGGUGACUUAAGUCUGAUGUGAAAGCCCACGGCUCAACCGUGGAGGGUCAUUGGAAACUGGGUCGCUUGAGUGCAGAAGAGGAAAGUGGAAUUCCAUGUGUAGCGGAGAGAUGCGUAGAUAUAUGGAGGAACACCAGUGGAGAAGGCGACUUUCUGGUCUGUAACUGACGCUGAGGCUCGGAAGCGUGGGGAGCAAACAGG